ACAGAUGAAGGCGACUAUCAGGUCAAACUACGCAACCUGGUUCGUUUUCUGGAAGAUGGCGAUAAAGCCAAAAUCACCCUGCGUUUUCGUGGGCGUGAAAUGGCGCACCAACAGAUUGGUGUCGAAAUGCUUAACCGUAUUCGCGACGAUCUGGAUGAACUGGCAGUGGUCGAAUCCUUCCCAUCGAAGAUUGAAGGCCGUCAGAUGAUAAUGGUGCUCGCUCCUAAGAAGAAAUAGUCAGGCAAUCAAGUAAUAAGCUCCAGUCGGUUCGUCUGGUUGGGGCUUAUUCGCCUUACUGAUUCGUUGUAAUUAACAAUGCGAAGUGGAAAUUAAAAUGCCAA
This 341-nucleotide long non-coding RNA is filed under the name Photorhabdus temperata subsp. temperata Meg1. Its description in RNAcentral is "Long range pseudoknot". Lineage: Bacteria; Pseudomonadati; Pseudomonadota; Gammaproteobacteria; Enterobacterales; Morganellaceae. The record is from RNAcentral.